Molecule: ribosomal RNA, 121 nt
Filed under: Graphiopsis chlorocephala
Lineage: Eukaryota; Fungi; Ascomycota; Dothideomycetes; Cladosporiales; Cladosporiaceae
Description: partial 28S ribosomal RNA
Source: RNAcentral
GCAACUAUUCGCCGAAGGGUUUGACGGUCGGUCACGCCGCAAAACAAAACCUCAUUUCUAAGGUUGACCUCGGAUCAGGUAGGGAUACCCGCUGAACUUAAGCAUAUCAAUAAGCGGAGGC